UCUCCGUAGGUGAACCUGCGGAGGGAUCACUACAGGCUUGCAAAAGCGCUGAAACCACUGUUUAUCUACCUGAAUCUGCUUCGGCGGGCGGCCCCAGGGGGGGGACGUUGACGCUAUGCGCCCGACGAAGAACCAUAAACUCUGUCGUCUUGUGAAUCUCUGAGCAAUUAUGUUAAACAAAAACAACUUUCAACAACGGAUCUCUUGGCUCUG
This 213-nucleotide unclassified non-coding RNA is filed under the name plant metagenome. RNAcentral's name for it is "partial contains small subunit ribosomal RNA, internal transcribed spacer 1, and 5.8S ribosomal RNA". The record is from RNAcentral.